This is a long non-coding RNA of Pezoporus flaviventris, 313 nucleotides long. RefSeq lists it as uncharacterized. The transcript is spliced from 3 exons. The record is from RefSeq and is a predicted model, not a curated record. Lineage: Eukaryota; Metazoa; Chordata; Aves; Psittaciformes; Psittacidae.
UUUGUCUAAAAGGUUCUGUGGUUAGUGACUGAAGGGUUGAGGGAGAGUAUCUUUGGUUAAAAAAAAAGCAUUAUUACAGCAGAAGAUACUGGAUUUGGAUGUGUGAGCUAGGCAUGGCUUCCUUGGAAAACGCCAGCAAGAGCCUGGUGAUAGUAAUGACUGUAGAAGGCCAGUCAAGAGGAAUUCAGAUGCUCAAGUAACUCUGGCCUUUCUGGAACACAUUAGUUUCACAACAGAUGAUGCUGGUGGUCCAUGCAGGCUGGCAAACUUCAACUAAGGUUGUAGUUGUAGGAUUCACACAGUUUUCAAUUAA